Molecule: ribosomal RNA, 477 nt
Filed under: uncultured bacterium
Lineage: Bacteria
Description: bacterial SSU rRNA
Rfam family: Bacterial small subunit ribosomal RNA
Source: RNAcentral
ACAACGCUGGCGGCGUGCCUAACACAUGCAAGUCAACUUGACUGAAGGAGCAAUCUGACAGUAGAGUGGCGCAAGGGUGCGUAACGCGUAAGUAACUUGCCCAAGGUAAGGAAUAACGUCGAGAAAUCGGCGCUAAUACCUCAUAAUGCAGCGGAUCCGCAUGGAUAUGUUGUUAAAGGUUUACCGCCUUGGGAUAGGCUUGCGUCUGAUUAGCUAGUUGGUGUGGUAACGGCACACCAAGGCUACGAUCAGUAACUGGUCUGAGAGGAUGAUCAGUCACACUGGAACUGAGACACGGUCCAGACUCCUACGGGAGGCAGCAGUGAGGAAUAUUGGGCAAUGCUCGAAAGAGUGACCCAGCAACGCCGCGUGGAGGAUGAAGGUAUUCUAUAUCGUAAACUCCUGUGAGAGCAGACGAAAGACAGAUUAUUAAUCUGGAUGACUGUAUGCUCAGAGGAAGCCCCGGCUAACUACGUG